AGUGAACGCUGGCGGUAGGCCUAACACAUGCAAGUCGAACGGCGGCACAGUAAGAGCUUGCUCUUACGGGUGGCGAGUGGCGGACGGGUGAGGAAUACAUCGGAAUCUACUUUUUCGUGGGGGAUAACGUAGGGAAACUUACGCUAAUACCGCAUACGACCUACGGGUGAAAGCAGGGGAUCUUCGGACCUUGCGCGAUUGAAUGAGCCGAUGUCGGAUUAGCUAGUUGGCGGGGUAAAGGCCCACCAAGGCGACGAUCCGUAGCUGGUCUGAGAGGAUGAUCAGCCACACUGGAACUGAGACACGGUCCAGACUCCUACGGGAGGCAGCAGUGGGGAAUAUUAGACAAUGGGCGCAAGCCUGAUCCAGCCAUACCGCGUGGGUGAAGAAGGCCUUCGGGUUGUAAAGCCCUUUUGUUGGGAAAGAAAAGCAGCAGGUUAAUACCCCGCUGUUCUGACGGUACCCAAAGAAUAAGCACCGGCUAACUUCGUG
Molecule: ribosomal RNA, 492 nt
Filed under: uncultured bacterium
Lineage: Bacteria
Description: partial 16S ribosomal RNA
Rfam family: Bacterial small subunit ribosomal RNA
Source: RNAcentral